RNAcentral lists this unclassified non-coding RNA (1686 nucleotides) under Leishmania donovani. Its description in RNAcentral is "gene:LdHU3.35.4350(CDS-product:replication_factor _C_subunit_3_putative)". Lineage: Eukaryota; Euglenozoa; Kinetoplastea; Trypanosomatida; Trypanosomatidae. The record is from RNAcentral.
CACUUCCGCAUGCCACCCUUCGGCGGUUUCUCCUCGCUUGUUGCCCUCUGCUUUGUUGAGGUCUCCUCGUUUUUUUUUUUUCGCGGAGGGGGUCUGUGAGCCUUUUGCGUGGCGCAUAAGCCAGUGGAAGUGAGCAUCUGCGGCGAGGGGCUCUUCAGCUCUCUGCGCUAUGCAUACAACUGAGAAACGGCCAAAAAAGAAAACAUCCACACGCAGGGAUAAGCACACAUCAGCAUAGUCUGUAAACUCUCUGCACGCGAUAGAGUCCAUCGCUUUUACUCUCAUAGAAGCGCACGCCUGGCGCCGUUAGUGGUGCACGAAUCGCAUCCGCGCGGCAGUAUCGUCACUUUAAACCAGCGAAUCUCUCUGGGUGCAUCACAUCUUCGAGCUUUUGGCUUGAGGCUCUAGCGCCCCCCCUUUUCCGUUGCUUGUCCUUCCUGCAGACCCUUGCGAUGUACGCCGGCAGACAAGGCGAAGAGGCCAAGGCGGCUGCCAGCCAUCUGCCAUGGGUAGAGAAAUACCGCCCCAGCACGCUGGAGAGCGUUGUUGCGCACGAGGACAUUCUCAGCACGCUGCGGCACCUCAUGGACAGCGGUAACAUGCCUCACCUGCUGCUCUACGGUCCGCCUGGUACCGGGAAAACGACCACCAUUAAGGCAUGCGCGUACUACCUCUAUGGUAAGGAUCGAGUGCGCGCGAACGUGCUCGAGAUGAAUGCGUCCGAUGACCGUGGCAUCGACGUGGUGCGCCAGCAGACUCGCGAGUUCGCUAGCACCUCCUCCAUAUUUUCGAUGAUGGGCUCCGGCAGCUCGACUGGCGGUGGAAGCGGCGGCCCGGCGGCAAAGUUCAAACUUGUGAUCCUCGACGAGGCAGAUCAGAUGUCCCACGAUGCCCAGGCGGCGCUGCGUCGCGUUAUCGAGAAGUACACGCGCAACGUGCGCUUCUGCAUUCUGUGCAACCACAUCAACAAAAUCAUACCCGCCCUGCAGUCUCGGUGCACUCGAUUCCGCUUCGCGCCGGUGAAGAAAUCGGCGAUGAUGCCGCGCCUCCGGUUCGUGGCGGAGCAGGAGGGUGUCAAAUAUACGACCGACGGGCUGGCGGCCGCGUUCCGCCUCAGCCACGGUGAUUUGCGCCGGUGCCUCAACACCAUGCAGGCUUCGGCGCUCUCUGCAAAUGAGGUUACAGAGGAGUCCGUUUAUCGAGUCACCGGGAACCCGACCCCUGCCGACGUGACGGCGAUCGUGUCGGAUAUGCUCUCCAGCGACUUCGCGACAAGCUGGAUCAAGGUGGAGGAAAGCGUUGUGCAGAAGGGCAUCUCCAUAGCGGAUCUGACUCGCGAGAUCCACCCUGUCAUGAUGGCGAUGGACUUACCGCAGGACUGCAAGUGCUUUCUGCUCAUGAAGCUAUCCGACCUUGAGUACUACGCGGCAGGCGGAGCGCGCGAGUCAGCCGGGCUUGGUGGGCUGCUAGGGGCCUUUCAGCUCGUCAAAGAGGCCGUGACGCAGCGCAAGCCAAUCAAGGAUGUGGCUGGAGAGUGCGCUUGCUGACGGGCUGCCCGGGAAACUUCAUACUUGGCGCGUGCGCCCGGCUCUGAGUUUUUGCAGCAAGCAAGCCGAUAAAGUGUUGUAUAGAAGCUGAUGGAGAAGCGAGAGUCUCUCGCUGCACAUACAAUGAAAAGCUUUAACG